This 253-nucleotide ribosomal RNA is filed under the name uncultured bacterium. RNAcentral's name for it is "partial 16S ribosomal RNA". It matches the Rfam family "Bacterial small subunit ribosomal RNA", at positions 524 to 776 of the family's 1533-position model. The record is from RNAcentral.
UACGUAGGGGGCAAGCGUUAUCCGGAUUUACUGGGUGUAAAGGGAGCGUAGACGGCAGCGCAAGUCUGGAGUGAAAUGCCGGGGCCCAACCCCGGAACUGCUUUGGAAACUGUGCAGCUCGAGUGCAGGAGAGGUAAGCGGAAUUCCUAGUGUAGCGGUGAAAUGCGUAGAUAUUAGGAGGAACACCAGUGGCGAAGGCGGCUUACUGGACUGUAACUGACGUUGAGGCUCGAGAGCGUGGGGAGCAAACAGG